Molecule: transfer RNA, 86 nt
Filed under: Variovorax sp. PBS-H4
Lineage: Bacteria; Pseudomonadati; Pseudomonadota; Betaproteobacteria; Burkholderiales; Comamonadaceae
Description: tRNA-Ala
Source: RNAcentral
CGCGCUCCUGCCUGGCGCAGUGCGUUCCUUGCGCGGCCGCUGGCGCAGCGCCGCGCCCUUGCGCGUUCGAUGCGCGCGCAGAGCGA